RNAcentral lists this ribosomal RNA (253 nucleotides) under uncultured bacterium. RNAcentral describes it as "partial 16S ribosomal RNA". It matches the Rfam family "Bacterial small subunit ribosomal RNA", at positions 524 to 776 of the family's 1533-position model. The record is from RNAcentral.
UACGGAGGGUGCUAACGUUGUUCGGAAUUACUGGGCAUAAAGCGCACGUAGGCGGUCUGCUAAGUCGGCCGUGAAAGCCCCCGGCUCAACCGGGGAACUGCGUUCGAUACUGGCAGGCUAGAGAACGGUUGGGGUGAGUGGAACUCCAGGUGGAGCGGUGAAAUGCGUAGAUAUCUGGAGGAACACCGGUGGCGAAAGCGGCUCACUGGACCGUCACUGACGCUGAGGUGAGAAAGCUAGGGGAGCAAACGGG